Molecule: ribosomal RNA, 153 nt
Filed under: uncultured bacterium
Lineage: Bacteria
Description: partial 16S ribosomal RNA
Rfam family: Bacterial small subunit ribosomal RNA
Source: RNAcentral
GCUAGUAAUCACAGGUCAGCAUACUGUGGUGAAUACGUUCCCGGGCCUUGUACACACCGCCCGUCACACCAUGAGAGUUGAGAAUACCCGAAGCCCAUGUCAAAGUGGUCGAAGGUAGGCUUGAUGAUUGGGGUGAAGUCGUAACAAGGUACC